UACGUAGGGUGCGAGCGUUGUCCGGAAUUAUUGGGCGUAAAGAGCUUGUAGGCGGUUUGUCGCGUCUGCCGUGAAAAUCCGGGGCUCAACCCCGGACUUGCGGUGGGUACGGGCAGACUAGAGUGUGGUAGGGGAGACUGGAAUUCCUGGUGUAACGGUGAAAUGCGCAGAUAUCAGGAGGAACACCGAUGGCGAAGGCAGGUCUCUGGGCCAUAACUGACGCUGAGAAGCGAAAGCAUGGGGAGCGAACAGG
This 253-nucleotide ribosomal RNA is filed under the name uncultured bacterium. Its description in RNAcentral is "partial 16S ribosomal RNA". It matches the Rfam family "Bacterial small subunit ribosomal RNA", at positions 524 to 776 of the family's 1533-position model. The record is from RNAcentral.